GCGUCUUACCAUGCAGUCGAACGGUGAAGCCAAGCUUGCUUGGUGGAUCAGUGGCGAACGGGUGAGUAACACGUGAGCAACCUGCCCUGGACUCUGGGAUAAGCGCUGGAAACGGCGUCUAAUACUGGAUAUGAGCUCUCAUCGCAUGGUGGGGGUUGGAAAGAUUUUUUGGUCUGGGAUGGGCUCGCGGCCUAUCAGCUUGUUGGUGAGGUAAUGGCUCACCAAGGCGUCGACGGGUAGCCGGCCUGAGAGGGUGACCGGCCACACUGGGACUGAGACACGGCCCAGACUCCUACGGGAGGCAGCAGUGGGGAAUAUUGCACAAUGGGCGGAAGCCUGAUGCAGCAACGCCGCGUGAGGGAUGACGGCCUUCGGGUUGUAAACCUCUUUUAGCAGGGAAGAAGCGAGAGUGACGGUACCUGCAGAAAAAGCGCCGGCUAACUACGUGCCAGCAGCCGCGGUAAUACGUAGGGCGCAAGCGUUAUCCGGAAUUAUUGGGCGUAAAGAGCUCGUAGGCGGUUUGUCGCGUCUGCUGUGAAAUCCCGAGGCUCAACCUCGGGCCUGCAGUGGGUACGGGCAGACUAGAGUGCGGUAGGGGAGAUUGGAAUUCCUGGUGUAGCGGUGGAAUGCGCAGAUAUCAGGAGGAACACCGAUGGCGAAGGCAGAUCUCUGGGCCGUAACUGACGCUGAGGAGCGAAAGGGUGGGGAGCAAACAGGCUUAGAUACCCUGGUAGUCCACCCCGUAAACGUUGGGAACUAGUUGUGGGGACCAUUCCACGGUUUCCGUGACGCAGCUAACGCAUUAAGUUCCCCGCCUGGGGAGUACGGCCGCAAGGCUAAAACUCAAAGGAAUUGACGGGGACCCGCACAAGCGGCGGAGCAUGCGGAUUAAUUCGAUGCAACGCGAAGAACCUUACCAAGGCUUGACAUACACCAGAACACCGUAGAAAUACGGGACUCUUUGGACACUGGUGAACAGGUGGUGCAUGGUUGUCGUCAGCUCGUGUCGUGAGAUGUUGGGUUAAGUCCCGCAACGAGCGCAACCCUCGUUCUAUGUUGCCAGCACGUAAUGGUGGGAACUCAUGGGAUACUGCCGGGGUCAACUCGGAGGAAGGUGGGGAUGACGUCAAAUCAUCAUGCCCCUUAUGUCUUGGGCUUCACGCAUGCUACAAUGGCCGGUACAAAGGGCUGCAAUACCGUGAGGUGGAGCGAAUCCCAAAAAGCCGGUCCCAGUUCGGAUUGAGGUCUGCAACUCGACCUCAUGAAGUCGGAGUCGCUAGUAAUCGCAGAUCAGCAACGCUGCGGUGAAUACGUUCCCGGGUCUUGUACACACCGCCCGUCAAGUCAUGAAAGUCGGUAACACCUGAAGCCGGUGGCCUAACCCUUGUGGAGGGAGCCGUCCGAAAGG
Molecule: ribosomal RNA, 1408 nt
Filed under: Microbacterium proteolyticum
Lineage: Bacteria; Bacillati; Actinomycetota; Actinomycetes; Micrococcales; Microbacteriaceae
Description: bacterial SSU rRNA
Rfam family: Bacterial small subunit ribosomal RNA
Source: RNAcentral